AGAAAGCAAGCACAAAUCAAGUAUUGAACAUGAUGAUGUUGUUGACUCAUUUAAGUUUAUUCAACCAAAUGGAACUCUUGAAUUGACACUACACACUACACAGCAGGCAGGAUGGACUGUUAAUCCUACCAGGAAUCCAAUGAAAUUAUUUCAGUCAAGAGUAGACGAGUUUCCAUUAACUCCUUCAUAUGCCACUUGCAGUAUGUCAGUGUAUGCAAAACCUGGUAUUGCUCAGGAUCCACUUCAUUGUCCUAUUAAAUUAACUGGAAUAGACCCUUCAAUAAUAAUUUACAUCGACAGAUCACCUCCUCUUCUAUCAAUAAACUUUAGCUCUACC
Long non-coding RNA from Amphimedon queenslandica, 337 nucleotides. RefSeq lists it as uncharacterized. NCBI's taxonomy places the organism in Eukaryota, Metazoa, Porifera, Demospongiae, Haplosclerida, Niphatidae. The transcript has 3 exons. The record is from RefSeq and is a predicted model, not a curated record.